UGGCGGCGCCGUGCGGGGUUGGGAGGCGGGCUCCGCUAGCAGGCCGCGCAUGCGUAAACUCGCGCCGGCUGGACGCUCCGCCACCCGGCUAUGCUGCUGCGGCCACUGUGGGGCCGGGUCUCCCGGGCGCUUCGCCGGGGACAGCGGAGGAGCCCCGCCUCGGCCGUGGGGCUGCGGGUGGCACAACACGGGACUUGGGCUCCCGAUGAAGAUACAGGAAAUGGAAAAGAGAAAAAAUCAGUGGCACAGUAUCCGAUUCUGAUGUGCAUUGUCUUCUGCCAGAUCUGUGUGGAGGGCAAUAUUGCUAGUGGGAAGACUACGUGCCUGGAAUUCUUCGCCAAUACAACAGGCAUUGAGGUAUUAACGGAGCCCGUGUCCAAGUGGAGAAAUAUUCAUGGCCAUAAUCCUCUGGCUCUGAUGUACGGUGAUGCCUUUCGCUGGGGCCUCACGCUGCAGACAUACGUGCAGCUCACCAUGUUGGAACAGCACACUCGCCCUCAGACGUUACCUGUACGGUUAAUGGAGCGGUCCAUCCACAGUGCAAGAUAUAUUUUUGUAGAAAACCUCUAUAGAAGAGGUGACAUGUCUGAAGUGGACUAUGUGAUUCUGUCAGAAUGGUUCAACUGGAUCUUGCGGAACAUUAAUGUGUCUGUUGACUUGAUAGUUUAUCUCCGGACCACUCCUGAGACCUGUUACCAGAGGUUAAAGAUGAGAUGCAGAGAAGAGGAGAAGGUCAUUCCACUGGAAUACCUUAAUGCUAUUCACCAACUCUAUGAGGAGUGGCUCACUAAAGGAAGCUGUUUCCCCAAGACAGCUCCCGUUUUGUGUAGGCAGGCUCAGAGCCUCACCCGCACCUUUUCUUGGUGACCCAAGGCAUCCGAAGGAACAUCAGUCGCUGUUCUGGGCUGUUACACAGUGAGGCCCUUAAGAGGUGCUGAAGUGAUCGAGGCUGACCACGAUAUACAGAAAAUGUCAGAAAUCUAUGAACAAAACCGGGACCGAAUAUUAACUGCAGGGACUCAGAAGCACAGCCCAUAAGGCAGGAAAGAUCCUGCCAGGAAAAGUGCUCUCUGCUGCUGUUAGGAGCGAUCUGGAAAAACCCACUCUUGGGAAGGCUUUCGAUCUGGUCAGGCUUGCUUUCCUGACAGUCUUUCUCCUUUACCUGUGUUUUCACCCUGCUUGUCUGGCCUUCAUGUCUGGCCAGUGGGCUUGUCAUUCCCUUUGAGAUUUGUAUCAUGGCAUACCCUUGUACUUCUGGUGGUUUCUCACAGCUGGAUCCCUUUAGCUAAGUCAGCUGAUGUGCUGGGCCCAUGGUCUCUAUCCUUUCAGACCAGCUGGGAGGUAGGCUUUUAUGUCCCAGGGGAGGAUGUUGAGGCUCAGAGAGGCUACAGACUCCUUCAAGGUCAUACAACCAUUGACAGUGAUGCCACAGAGUUUUGGCCCCCAACUGUCCCACCUCUGCAGAGGGACUCUCACAUCUGUGUGGGGAGAUCCAGCAGUGCGUUGGGCCAGUACCAUAAUUUUCUAAAUAUUUGAGGAUUUUUAGGGCAAAUUAGCAUCUCUAAGAUGAAGAGUUGUGCUGUGCUAUGCUGUCUUUGGCUUUACACAGUGCUCACUAGUUUUCUAGCAGGAGGCCACAUUUUACUACAUUUACUAUCACUUACCAAAGUUAUCAGGACUUUGAUGUCCUCAGAGGAAUGUCAUGCUGCCUCAUGCCUGGUAUGUGGCCUCUUUAGUGACAAAGGACCUACCUGAGCUGCUGCCUGUUCUCGGUCUUCUUUGGUUUGUCCAACGUUGAGCUAGGACAGGAGGCUGCCAGCCAUGACUUCUGGAGAUCCCUUCCUCUGUGGAGGUCUUGCAUGAGGACCUUCUCCUUUAGAGUUGUUGAGAAUUUAUGACUUGAGGAAGAGGAGACACAAGUGACCUUAAGUCUUUGACAAGCUGUUUCAACCUCUGAGAGGACACUUUGGGCCAUGGGACACAAAACCAUCUUUAUAUGUCUAGAAAACAUCUCCACUUUGUUCACCUGUCUCAGUGCAUUGAAGAAGGCACAGCUUCCUUUUGUUUCAAGUCAAGGAAGCAGGACAGACGAAGAACAUCCUUUGAGGGGCCAGUCUGGAUAGAAAAUUCUGGACCAGCAAGCAAAGGCUCUUCUUGAAACCCAGGUGCCCCUGUUGCCUUGGAGAUAGGUGGAAGAACUUUAAGGAAAAUGCUACAGACACCAGGGAAUGACUGUUAGGAACUUGGGAGGAACUGUCCUUGGCCUUUUCCCAACCAGCAGUUGGCUAUACAGGAAAGUUCGGGGUCCUGGUCUCAGCCCCUGUGUGAUGAACCAGCUGGGUGUGCAGUGGUGGUGGUGGUUGGCCCCCCAGUGGUCCUCCCCCAUGAGGCAUGCUGUGAGCACUAGCUCUUUGGUUCUGAGCCUUCCUGUCUAGAUUGAUUUUAGGGCUAUGUGCACAAGAUGAAAGGUGGCAGUCAGUGGGAACAUUUCACACUGAGGUGCUGCUUAAAUAUCAGUGAUUGACCAAAAACUGAAGAGGCAGGAACCUCUGCUACCAGAACUCCUGACAUGCUGGGGCAUUCUUUGGGAAUUGAUAAGUGAACAGUCCAGUGUUUUCUCUACAACUCAAUUUGAGCAUCUGUUUCAUUAUUUUUUGAAAUGUGUUAAAAUUAUUCUAUGGUAGCAAAUGAAUUUUAAUAAAACUUAUCAUCUAAAACCUGA
This is an RNA transcript of Erinaceus europaeus (western European hedgehog), 2722 nucleotides long. It is a transcript of the gene named thymidine kinase 2, with no coding region annotated. The record is from RefSeq and is a predicted model, not a curated record. Lineage: Eukaryota; Metazoa; Chordata; Mammalia; Eulipotyphla; Erinaceidae. The transcript is spliced from 11 exons.